AUUCAGUGUUUGGGUGAAGACGGAGGCGGGUUCUGGACAGACCUACGCUGUCGGGGAGUGUUUACUUCGCCUCCACUUCUGUUCCUCCCCGCCCUGGUGCUGCUCCAGGUCACAUACUCUUCCUGAGCCGGCUUCAGCCUCUCCGCGCAGAAGUCUCCCGGAGCCAUGGCCUAGUAUUCUUAUGUGAAGUCUACCAAGCUUGUGCUCAAGGGAACCGAGAUUUGCCUGAGGUUGACUGUACAUGCAAAUAUUGAGCUUUCCUCCUGGCCUCCGUGAUAAACAGAAGUUUUGAUAUUGUUAGGCGAGAUGGAAAGAAAGUAUCAAGGAGUGAGCUGAAGCCACUGCCCUUGAGAACCCUCUCGAGGAGUCUGGCCUCAUGAAGAUGCCAGAAUAAAUGGCAGUAAGAAGAAAAAGAGCAAAGAUAAGAAGAGAAAAAGAGAAGAUGAAGAAACCCAGCUUGAUAUGUUGAGGAACGCAGCUGCUCACCAGCAACGGAACAAAGCUGGACGGAGAAUGACUUUGAAGAGCUGAGAGAAGGCUUCAGACGAUCAAAUUACUCUGAGCUACGGGAGGACAUUCAAACCAAAGGCAAAGAAGUUGAAAACUUUGAAAAAAAUAAAUGUACAUUAAUUAACGUGGAAUCUGGUGAACAGUAACAAACUUUGGUGAAAUUUCAGGAACCAUAGCCAUUGAAGUGGAUGAGGGAACCUAUAUACAUGCACUCAACAAUGGUCUUUUUACCCUGGGAGCUCCACACAAAGAAGAAUCGCCCUGAAACCUGGCUAUGGAAAAUAUCUUAGUAUAAAUUCAGAUGAACUUGUUGUUGGCGUUCAGAUGCAAUUGGACCAAGAGAACAAUGGGAACCAGUCUUUCAAAAUGAUGGCCAUCCAGUAAUGAGAAUGAACAGUCUCCAACUAAAGGCAACAAUAUAGAUGAAUCUCGGAAACAUGAUAUUGACCAGACAGAAAAGAUUCCACUUACAUAAACUUCAAAAGAAGAUAAAACUGAUCUAUGACAUUAAUAGUCAGAAUAUUCAUUAUCCUUGAGGGAACUAAACUGGGAAGCCACAUGAUAGGGCAUCUGGAAGCUAGUAAUGUCCUCUUUCUUGAUCUGUUACAUUGGUGUGUUUAUUUCAUUAGAUUUAUUGAGCUAUACAUUUACCACCGUGUACUUGUCUCUGUAUAUGUUUUGCAUUGAAAUAAAUUUUACCAAUAAAAUGAUAAAGCAAAAUAAAGCAUUAACUGCUUACUGUUUUCAAUAAUAUGCUCCUCUCUCCAAGAGGCCCCCCAUACAGGUGAAAGUGCCCUGAAUUAUGACCCCAAAUAUGGCCUAAUGGCAGGAUAUCUGAAACUAUAGUAACAGGAUGUUGGAAAAAAAAGUUUCCCUGGGAUAAUCGAAUACAACAAAAGGGGUAUUCC
Molecule: long non-coding RNA, 1418 nt
Filed under: Homo sapiens (human)
Lineage: Eukaryota; Metazoa; Chordata; Mammalia; Primates; Hominidae
Source: RNAcentral